Lycium barbarum (goji berry) is the source of this 1209-nucleotide long non-coding RNA. RefSeq lists it as uncharacterized. NCBI's taxonomy places the organism in Eukaryota, Viridiplantae, Streptophyta, Magnoliopsida, Solanales, Solanaceae. The record is from RefSeq and is a predicted model, not a curated record. The transcript is spliced from 3 exons.
GCUUCGUGAACAAUGGCAUAUGAUGUCUGUUCAAAGAUUUUCCUAAUAUGUAGCUGAACUUUCUAUAUCACUGUUUAUUGGAAGGGCCAUUUUCUUAUAUCAAUUUCUUGAAGAUGUACUACUUACAGCUUUCCGGGAAUACAGUUUAUAAUACAUGUACAAAUGAAUUAGAAAAUAAAAAGAAAAUUGCAUGAUUUGGAGCUAAACUUCCUUGAGAUGAUCGUUAUCUGUUAACAACUUGUUAAACUAAAUAUACUUUAGAACAACUAAUAUUCACUCCUUGGUGGAAAUUUUAAGCAUAUUUGCUAUAUCAAUAUUGAUAAUGUAUCCGAGGAGUUACUAUGAAAACUUAGCUCAACAUUGAUCGGGGAGAAUAAGAAUACUGUUGCACUAAUGACUACCAAUUAUACAAUCUAGUAUAAGUUUCUGUCAUUAUCCCAUUUGUGGAUUUCAUUCUCAAUUAAGUGAAUCAUGAUAAUGUUUUCUUAAUUUACAGGUGUUUUGGGCACUCGUGUAUGACAUCAGUGUGUAUGUUGCCUUUAAUUCAGUGAUUAGGGUUUUGUGGAUUUGGAAUGACGGAGGAACUGACUCGAACAAGUAAAAUCAUUUUGAAUCUUUUGACAAAUAGUGGCUGCUUAUUGUCCUAGAUCAGAAGCAGUCAAAUGUGUACAGGUGGUAUUGUCUCCUUGUUGAUGUCUUUUAGUUAGUUUCCUUGAAGUCUUAUUAACUUCUUGCUUUUCAACCACAACCCUUCAUGGUUUUCUGAUUGGUGGAAGAAAGUAGAGAAUGCUGUACAAGGUUCGCACCUCGACGUAUCGAGAGAUACUGAUCUGUCUAGGGUCGUAAAAGGGGUUGCAAGUGUCAUCAAGGAUGGUCAGGGCUCCAAGUCUUCAUACCUGUUAUAUCUGGAUGAGUGGAAGCAACUCAGGCAAACAAUUGAGGAAGUAUGUGUUACUGCUAGAGACUAUGUUGAUGUUUGGACAGAUGCAAGCAAGAAAAUGGGGAAGAGAAGAGUAUUCUCAGAGUUUCUGAAGCUCUUGGACACCGAACAUUGACCUUUUUGAUUAAUGUGCUUUUGGAUUCUAACUAUGCUAUAUUUAAAUGGAUAUGUAUAUUAUGUUUAAGGGUUUGAAUGUAGUUUUAAUUUGAACUACAAGUACUUUUAAUUUUAAGAUGUUUAAGUGUUUGAACAUAGUUUAUGAUGUUUAA